AGGUUGUAAGCUCUGCCCUGGAUAGGAGGCCUUCAUUGAUUCUGGUUUCUCGGGCAUUCUCUUGCAUAAUGCUGGGAACUGCCACAUAUGCGACACGUGUUGUUGAGGCGGUAGCAUGGUCGGUCCUCGUGAUCUCUACCGCAGUGCUAACAGAUCUUCCCACGUGCUGCCCCUAGAGCCUGAGGAGGGGCCUGGAUGGCUGGUCUGGGCCUCUUAUUUGGUUGGACAGGCGCAGUAGGUGCUAGCUUGCGGAACGGAGCUGAGGGUCGGGAUCUCCCCGCUGGCUGAGGACUGGUAUUAAAGCUCUUUUCCACGAUCUGUGCCUUUGCUAAAACUGCUGAAUAUGUCUUGAGC
RNAcentral lists this long non-coding RNA (354 nucleotides) under Carica papaya (papaya). RNAcentral's name for it is "long non-coding RNA (CPAP_LNC000458)". Lineage: Eukaryota; Viridiplantae; Streptophyta; Magnoliopsida; Brassicales; Caricaceae. The record is from RNAcentral.